Cervus elaphus (red deer) is the source of this 2831-nucleotide RNA transcript. RefSeq lists it as uncharacterized. The transcript has 2 exons. Lineage: Eukaryota; Metazoa; Chordata; Mammalia; Artiodactyla; Cervidae. The record is from RefSeq and is a predicted model, not a curated record.
GUCUGCUCCCGGGUGUAGUGGGCUCCUGGGACCGCAGUUCCCAGGUGGGCUCCCGCGCUGAGCGUCUCGAGAACUUGUUGGAAAUACAGGUUCCAGCUCAGACUCGCUGAAUUGAAACUCCAGCAGUCUGAGCUCACAGUCCGGGUAAUUCAGGUGAGCGCGAGUCUGCGAGCUGCUGGGCUAGGGGACGGCGGCAACGUGUCGCCCCUUCGACCCUGGAUUCCGAACGGCGCUCGGAAUGAGUGACCCGCGUUCGACCAGCUUGGAGACGGGGAGACAGACUGCAAAGAGCCGAGAGCCCGGCGAAGGUCACAGCCGGCAGGUCCGGACUCAGCGGCCAUCCUCUCCGUGCGGAAGGUUUGGCUACGCUCGCUAGCUUGCUCCCUCUGCUUCAGUUCACUCCUCGGUCCGGGACAAAAGGGCUGCGUUUGUCCAGGCCGCCGGAGACCUUCGCUUCUGAAUCCACAUCCUCUCUGGGUCUUACUAACACCGGGAGUUUGUUCCGGACUGUCUCUUUGGAACACUCUCCACGCCGCCACCCCCCAGGUGCCUCUAUCCUGGGCCCAUUCCCCUUAACUUUGGGAUGAGAUUUUCUCUAAGGAGCACGACCUUAACUGGUUGCAUCCACAGGGACCCAAAUCUGCAAUUUGUGGGACCUCAGCCGGGUACCAGGUACCCAUCCGGGCUCGGGGAUCUGCAGACCCGGCAUUCCUGCCUCCCGGAUCAAGUCCGGUCCUCCGCUGGGCCACCCCCCUCUUGCCUGCCUCCUUCCCCUCCCCCACCGCCACCCCGUUGGCAACCUCUGACUCUCGCCUCCAGUCCUGGCUAAGCCCUCACAACUCCUCCUCUGGACAGUGUGAGGCUUUCUCAUUCACUCUUUCAUUCCACAGACAUUUCCUGGCGCCUCCCAGCACACGGUGCUGGGUGUCCCUGAAGAGCCACGUCCCUAUGGUCGUAGAACCUAUGUCCUCCCUAGAGAUGGACACACAAAUCUGUUGACAGCCCACCUCUCUCCUAGUUAGGGUGGUUUGAACUCCCCAUCCUAAAAAAAACAAAGCCUUCUCUAUACCACACCCCUCCACCCACCUGCCCACUUCUCUGCUCUUCUUUACAACAUAAUCCCCGCCUGCCUCCCCCCACAACUGUCUGCAGCCUCAUCUCCACUUUCUCAGCCCUCCUGGUCCCCCACUGUCACUGUCAACUCCUGUGUUUUACACACACUGGCCAAUUCUCUGCUUUUUCCUGAACUGACCCCUGGCAGCAUACUCACCCCUGAACACUGCUGUCUCCCACCUCUCCUGCACCUCCCUCUGCUGCUUCCUCCCGCAGCCUGGAAAUGCACCCCCACCACCUCCACCUCCGCCUUUGGUGCUUCUCAGGCCCUUGAGCUGCUCAUGUCCACUUAAGGCUCGAGAUUCGUUCCCGAGCUUGAUGGCCCCCUGGGCUGACCACACCCGCCCUGCCCCCGCCAUCUCUCAUCCCACCAGGCCUCCCUCAGAUAGGCCCUUCUCCAUCUCAGGGUGCCCACCCAUUCUUUUCCCAUUCUCAGCUCAGAGUUCCCUGGUGCUGGGUGGUCACCUCCAUUUGGUGAUUACAUCCACUGCUGCCACGUGGUCCAACUGGGAUUUUUGCAUCAGCCUUCUGUUUCCCUAAAACCUAAGUCCAUCCAUGUCCAUCUUUCUGGACGUAGGAGUUGCAGUGGUCCCGUCAUCCUUAGGGACCCCGGGCCUUCCUGCCCUGUCUCCCACCAGCCCCAUUCUGGUUCAUCCCCACCAGCCCCCAGCUGCCUCCGCCUCCAGGCCUUUGUGUAUAUGGUGGCACUUUUGCCCAGACCCACACUUUCUUCCAGCGCCCACUCAACAUUUCUGACACCCGUGUGAGUCUGCUCCCAGCCCCACCCCAUGGGCACCCCUCCACGCCCACCACCCGAGGGAGCAGGAAGCUGCAGCCCAAGGGUGAGAGUGUGGGAUGCAGCCCCCAGCCCCCUUCUCCUGGCCCCAUGGCCAGCACUGGGGCUGUGUCCCCUGGGCUAUCGGCAGCCCAGCCUGGCAUGCGGCCUUGGGCAAGAUGCCCCACUGCACCCUCCCCCCACGUUCCUGCCCCAGAGUGGGAUGGAGAUAGAGGAGGAGGGGUCAGUGGGUCCCGUCCUUGAUGCCCACUGAAGGCAGCACUGGCCAGCCGGGGCCCUUCCCUGGGCACUAUCUCCUGGACCUGCUCCAUCCAAGGCUCCACCAAACACAAGAGCCCUUUCUAAGGAGGGAAGCCCUGGCCGCGAUGGGAGCCUCCGCAUCCAAGUGGCCCCAUGGAUACUGGCCUCUGCCUGAAGACCUGAGUGCCACGUGGGACCCUCCGUCCAGGAGGCUGGAAGCUGGGGCCACCAGUCUUGCAGGCUGCAGUGUGAUGACGUCAUGAGAGGACUCGCCUGGCGCCUGGGUGUGGAACAGCGGAGACAGACCUGAGAACAGCCUGGCUGCUGAGCGCCAGUCCUUUUCACCUCUGGGCAGUUUCUCUAUUUCCCAAUUUUCCACAAAGAUCUCAUAAACUUUCAUGAUCACAAACAUGUAUUAUCUCCAAAGUGGAAAGUACAAAGGUGUGUUGUUUUUAGCUGGUUUUAAAAGUGACAGAGGCUCACUGUGGAGCUCUGACAGCAGUAGGUGCAGGCAGAGAAGACCUCCUCCCUACCCUGACCCCCCUCCCAAACCCAACUGGGCCUUCUGCCCCUUCCUGUCACCUGGGACCCAGGGCAGGGCUGCUGCAUGUGCGCCCCACCCACUGUGGGCCCUUUGGGAGGAGGUGAGCAAGACAGAGUGCCCCCUGCCCCUGGUGCAUGG